CAACGUAGGUAACUACGUAGAUCGCUUAGCGCAAAAUUACGAUCGUACAGAAAUCUUUUUCUUCGAUCGUACAGAAGUUAAUGUUUCAUUCGUUCUUAUUUUUUUCGUACGGAUUAAUUGAUCGUUAAAUCGAGAAUCGUGCAAUACGAUUUAAUUACGUUUCCUUUUUCAUUUAUUAACGUUUUAUAAUGAUUUUGUUACGGUAAUACGAUUAAAGUUAAGGACAACGAUGAAGAUCGAAGACCUUAAAAGCGGGGAGCAUGUAACAAAUGGUUCGAUUAAAAUCCCAUCGGGAAGAUGCGAUUCUCUCGAGCUAAUAGCCGAAACACCAGGGGAAUCUUUCUCGUAGAGAAAAGCCGCUUUAUUGACCGUAAAAGAAAAAGUAGAGUAAACCGAGAGAAGAGACUAUCAAAAGAUUGAGAUUGAGAUCUGCAUUUGGACUGACCGGAGUUUCGCCAUCUUCCAUCAUCAAAGUUGUCUCCUCCGUUACGUUUUCGUA
This is a long non-coding RNA of Vespa mandarinia (Asian giant hornet), 499 nucleotides long. NCBI's taxonomy places the organism in Eukaryota, Metazoa, Arthropoda, Insecta, Hymenoptera, Vespidae. The record is from RefSeq and is a predicted model, not a curated record.